This 32-nucleotide transfer RNA is filed under the name Dendrolagus goodfellowi (Goodfellow's tree kangaroo). RNAcentral's name for it is "partial tRNA-Phe". The record is from RNAcentral. Lineage: Eukaryota; Metazoa; Chordata; Mammalia; Diprotodontia; Macropodidae.
CUUAGAUGGACUCUAAUACAGUCCCAUAAACA